Molecule: ribosomal RNA, 450 nt
Filed under: Microbacterium profundi
Lineage: Bacteria; Bacillati; Actinomycetota; Actinomycetes; Micrococcales; Microbacteriaceae
Description: bacterial SSU rRNA
Rfam family: Bacterial small subunit ribosomal RNA
Source: RNAcentral
GUGGUGCAUGGUUGUCGUCAGCUCGUGUCGUGAGAUGUUGGGUUAAGUCCCGCAACGAGCGCAACCCUCGUUCUAUGUUGCCAGCACGUAAUGGUGGGAACUCAUGGGAUACUGCCGGGGUCAACUCGGAGGAAGGUGGGGAUGACGUCAAAUCAUCAUGCCCCUUAUGUCUUGGGCUUCACGCAUGCUACAAUGGCCGGUACAAUGGGCUGCAAUACCGUGAGGUGGAGCGAAUCCCAAAAAGCCGGUCCCAGUUCGGAUUGAGGUCUGCAACUCGACCUCAUGAAGUCGGAGUCGCUAGUAAUCGCAGAUCAGCAACGCUGCGGUGAAUACGUUCCCGGGUCUUGUACACACCGCCCGUCAAGUCAUGAAAGUCGGUAACACCUGAAGCCGGUGGCCUAACCCCUUGUGGGAGGGAGCUGUCGAAGGUGGGAUCGGUAAUUAGGACUU